Molecule: ribosomal RNA, 497 nt
Filed under: uncultured bacterium
Lineage: Bacteria
Description: partial 16S ribosomal RNA
Rfam family: Bacterial small subunit ribosomal RNA
Source: RNAcentral
GAUGAACGCUGGCGGCGUGCCUAAUACAUGCAAGUCGAGCGAACGGACGAGAAGCUUGCUUCUCUGAUGUUAGCGGCGGACGGGUGAGUAACACGUGGAUAACCUACCUAUAAGACUGGGAUAACUUCGGGAAACCGGAGCUAAUACCGGAUAAUAUUUUGAACCGCAUGGUUCAAAAGUGAAAGACGGUCUUGCUGUCACUUAUAGAUGGAUCCGCGCUGCAUUAGCUAGUUGGUAAGGUAACGGCUUACCAAGGCAACGAUGCAUAGCCGACCUGAGAGGGUGAUCGGCCACACUGGAACUGAGACACGGUCCAGACUCCUACGGGAGGCAGCAGUAGGGAAUCUUCCGCAAUGGGCGAAAGCCUGACGGAGCAACGCCGCGUGAGUGAUGAAGGUCCUCGGAUCGUAAAACUCUGUUAUUAGGGAAGAACAUAUGUGUAAGUAACUGUGCACAUCUUGACGGUACCUAAUCAAAAAGCCACGGCUAACUACGUG